Molecule: long non-coding RNA, 4805 nt
Organism: Triticum aestivum (bread wheat)
Lineage: Eukaryota; Viridiplantae; Streptophyta; Magnoliopsida; Poales; Poaceae
Exons: 3
Source: RefSeq, a predicted model, not a curated record
CUUUCUUCCCUUCUGGCUCUCUUAUCCGGCGACUGUCGCCGGCGUGAUUUGCCUAUGCGUGCUCUGGGCAGAGACAAGUGCUGAUAACGUGUAAAAGAAUGAUUUGAUUGAAGUAUCUUAUUCCAUUGAUGAUCACAUAUUUAUACAAGGGGAACCGACGCUUAUGAGAAAAUGCGCCUGUUCGAGGGGAUGCGAGGAACAGAUGCGACGGUUGCCUGGAGAGGUUCCCGCACGAACGAGGCGGUGGUUUCCUCGAGAGGAUCCCGUGCAUGCUGUUAUUUACAACAAGGAUUAUCUCUAAUAAUUAAUUCCUAACACCGAUGAGAGUUGUAGGGAUGUCGGCGGUUGAGCGGUUCGGGCGCGGAGACAGGAGGCGCAAGAGGAUGUGGAUGGACCAGAUCGGGUGGCUUGGGGUCGGAUCCCGCCGGCGGCGGAGGGCUCGCGGCGACCUUGGAGGCCGGGCGUUGAAGAACUCGGGGCGGCAGUGGUGCUCGGCCGUGGAGGGCUCUAUGUGAUGAUGUUGGCCCUAGGUUAACCAAGCCAGCCUUCUGGCUGGAGCAACUAUGUGCAAGCAUCGUGCAGGCAUCAUGUCAGGCAAGGAAUCAAGCCAAGGUCUGCGGAUACAACUUGACGUGCGACAGGGCGGAGCACCUAUGAUCGAACAUACGGGAUUGCAGCUGCACGCUGGAGGAAGGGGGCAUAAGAUACGAUGCGCUUAUGGGCCACGAACAGGUGCGGAGAUGCCAAACUAGAGGUUCCGGGUGGAUGGACUUCGAUAUCCGGGUGAUCUUCUCCGGCUUUUGUUUGAGAAUAUUGAGAUGGCACCAUUGCGUGAUAUCUGCUGCAGAAGAGUACGUAUUUCGUCCGUGAUUGUUGCUAUGAUUGAUGUCGUACUACUCGAGAAAGAUGGCAACAACAGCCAUGAUCCAUCUCUGUCGAUGUGGUUGACAGUUUGACACUCACAACAUGGUACUCCCUCCUUCUAGAUGUACAGAUUUAUCUCCCUAGCUUUGUAUGGAUGAAAUUGGGGAUCACAUAUUCGAUGCAUUUUAUGUAUCUCUGUACCCAUGCCGAUGGACAUGCAGUAAGCUGCAGAGACACUCCAUGCAGGUAUUAAGCAUCAUUGGAGGUCAAUAGCCUAAUGUAUUAAUCAGCGCACAUAGAGACAUGGCAAUGUGUUGGAUACAACCUCUAAUCACCUUCAUACUCAAGGUGGAUACAACCUCUAAUCACCUUCAUACUGAAGGUACGUACAACUAGCUUCUGCAAUUAGUUGACCCUGUUUAGUUUUCUCCUUCCCUAGAACAUGACUAUCAUAUUUUACUAAAAAUGAGUUAUUAUUAGAACACAACAUAUAAUAAUGAGAUGUGGUAUUUUUCAAGAAAAUCUCAUAUGACUGUAGUAUUUUUCAUGUGAGACUAAGGGACAAGGAAGCUGCAGUUUGUUUUUCCAGUACAAAUGUCAGGCAGAUGUUUGUUCAAACGCUAUGUGAGAAUGGGCUUCUUUUCUCAUUCCUUGAUUGGUAUUUGGACCUCCUAGAGUAAUUACAUGAGUUAUGAAAAAGUUGACUGUAUGUUGCUCCUUUUGGACUGUUCUAACCUGAUGUUCACAUUCAUAUAUAGCCAAGUUUUGGGAGUAUUAAAAUAAGUUGAAUUAGUAUCCCCAGGAAAGCCGUGAACAGAUAUGCUGACCACUUAUAUUUGUCUAAAAUUGAUGGUCAUUUUCAUCUAAUAAAAUUCUUCCAUGUAUACCCUCAUAGAUUAUUUCCGAGGCAGCGACAAGAAACAAUAUGGGCCUACUGAAUACUUGCCGGCCUGAGAAGUUGCAUAGGUACGUAGCCGAUUGAAAGCUGCUGGCCAAUGCUUUAGCCAGCAACACACACAUGUACGCAACCAGCUAUCCAAGAAGGCAGGUGGAUUGAUUCCGGCUGGCUGCAAACAAGCAGGCAAAACGCAGGCACACAACGUAGAUCAAAAUCUUGCUGAAACACAUGCACGCCGCACGCACGCGACGCCUGUCAUUGGCCUGAGUAUUUAUUAUUACUUCGAUCUGAGUUUUACAAGGGGAGUGGGAUUACAUGGGUAUAUAUAACAGCGAGGGAUGCAAUGACAUCAUGCCGAUUUUAAGAUUAUCUAACAAUUCAAACAUUAUUCAUAAAUAUCUCUGAAAUCGUCACAUUGUUAUCAUUAUUAUUAGUGCAGGCUAGAUUGAUAGAUGGCAGGUAGUAUAGUUCAACUUUGGCUACAUAAGAACGAACCAAUUGGUGCAUCAUAUAUGCCAUGCGUUCGGGUGAUGACUGCUACAGACUCCCGAUGUCCUCUUUGAGUACUAACUACAUGUUUCCUGUUACUUUUUAAGGUUAGUUCCUUGAAUUUUCAGUGUUCAUUCUUCUGAAGACUAAUAUCUAAUUUUUCAUGGCUAUCGUCUUAUUUUUAUUACUUCAUCAUUAACCUUAAAUACAAAUUUUAUGUGCCAAUUAAUUAAGUGAUGUAUAUUAGCCAGUUGAAAGCCUCUUUGUCCACCAACUACAUUUUCAGAAAACCAGACAAAACAUCACUACAUUUCGAACCCCUGUAUCAUGAAUUUCCCCAUUUGUUUUCUUUCUCGCCAUAGUUUACUUAUCAUUAAGAAAUAAUGCCAAUCGGUACCAACAUAAGAGUAGAUGUGUUGUGACAGGUGAUGAUCUAAGAGUAUUUUAUUAUUCCUCAUUCAGUGUGCACUUUUCCAAUUUCUAAUUUACUAUGUGUGUUCUACAGUCUAAGAUGGAGGAUAUAUGGUCUUUAAUGUCAGCUUUACAAAACAUAUAUAUUCAUUGUUUAGACAACUUUUCGCAAGUGCGUUGCACAUUUCUAUCAACAUGCUGUAUCAAAUCACUCACUAUCUUUUUUUAUGGGCCUUAAUGUGCUUGAUAUUCUAUAAAUUACUUUCGAGAUGUGCUAUAGCACAUAGAAAGUGGGACGUUUUUACUUCCAUACGUUAAUCCGCACCAAAAGAUUAGUCUAGCCUUUAGGAUUCUAAAUUUAAUGGUUAUGAUCUAUUAGAGCGCCGUUCUUUUAUUUGUAAAGCAAAUCACCCACGUCCAUGCAUACAUUAAAAGGAAUUAGACCUGCACGUAUCAAAUAGGCCCUGCAACCUGAAGCCUAUCCUGAUUGAAAGAUCUAGAUGAUAUUCAACUGUAAUGUAAUUUUAUUUUGGAUAGUGUUUAAGAAACAAGGAUUACCGUCAGUGACCAAUUGACCAGCACAAUGUCAAUAAUAAGAAUCACGACAUAGUUUGCUUUGGAUACUUAGUUCUCAAUUUUCUUUAUGUCAACAUAUUGGUAGCUGAUGCGAUAAAAGGUGCCAGACAGGACAUUGGCACAUCAAUCAUCGUUACAUCAGGUGUGCACAUCACAGCGGAGCUACAAGUUCAUUUUUCCAUGUUUAAAAUAAAUCAGAUCUUCCCAGUGCAAGUACUGAGACAGGUUGUGCUGAGGUUUGCCCAUGUUGUCAACUGCAUGUUCUAGGAGAAUUUUUUUGUUGUACCUGAUACAGUACACUUCGAUGAUGAUAUCUUAGUCAACCUUUUGUUGCAGUUUUUAAUGAACAGAUAGUCUAUCAUGAAAGAUAUAUUACCUUUCAUCAAAAAAUGGAAUUCCAUUUAGACUGGAAAUAUUUAGCUUACAUGAUACAAAUCGAACCCUUAAGGUGAUCAGAUAUAUGUUUUAAGUUAUGGCCGUUUGCUCUCCAGUCACCGGUAUUCAGUUUUUUCAUCAAGUUUUGAUGAAACAGGGAGGAAACCCUGAACAAUAAUGGACUCACUAGCAUGUAGAUGAUGUGUCUCUUUCUUAAACUGGACUGAAUGCUUCUUAUUAUAUUUUGUUCUGAGGAGUUGAUGGUCUGAUGUCUUAUAUGUUUAGUUGCUCUAUACUGUCAUAAUUCUAUGAUGCAAAGGAUUGUAUAUUUUUUUCAUCAAGUAACCCUUAUAGGCUCUCCUCUAAUAUGCGUGUGUGUUGUUACCUCUUUUUUCCUGCAUUUUAUUUUCUACACCACAAUCAAAUGUGAAUAUGUACGUUUUGCCUAGCCAAUAAUUACUAAACUAAUCAUUUUUUAAUAUCCGCACAAUAUAUUUAUUAUGGAUAAUUUCUUUGAGAAAAUGCCAUUUGUUAACUCGCAAUAAUCAUUAACUUCACACACAAAAAUUAGAAUAUAUAAAACUCAGUCUGUAGAAGCUAUAGCUAUGUUUUACCUCGGAAGUAGUUGCCUGUUGGUGCACAUUUUUUAAUACCUACUUUAGAAUGUUAUUUAUCAAAUUUACAAAGCAUGGUUACGUGUACCUUUACUCCAAGGUCAUUGCUUCUCUUUUAUAAAACAAAAAUUACACGUAUUUGGGUGCAAUUCGAAGAGAAAUUUGUAAAGUGUAUGCAUAUAUAUCAUGACACUAGCAUCCACUGCGAUGCAUUUGAUAAUACUUCCACUUGAUCUCUUGGAUUAUUAGAGAAUUCAUUAAGUGACGGCAGAUUAUUAGAGAAUUCAUCAAGUGACGGCUACUGGUGAAUUUAUGGACGAUAUUACACUAGAGGUGCAACAACGGAUAGGUCAAUUAAGAUCCGGAUAAAAACACAGAGUCAUUGUGAUUGUGAUGUUCAGUGCAUACAAAUUUUUAGGAGUUUCACUAGGAUAAUAUAGAAUGCAGGAAGAAACCAUGUACUCCCUCUGUAUCACAACAUAAGAUGUUUUUUUUCUAGAUUAGAUUAAAAGGACUUAUAUUUUGAUAAGGAGGUAGUAUUUAUGAACUUGAGAACUGUAGUAACUCAUGAGCUCAUG